GUUGUUAACUACUGUGGCAACACAUGCCAGAAGUCAGAUUGGAAGUUGCAUAGGGUUGAAUGCCAGGUUUUGUCCAAAGUUGACAAGGAGAGGGUAAAAUCGAUCACGCCAAGUAUAAGAUUGAUGGUUAAGCUUUAUCUCCGGAGGAAACUGCAAGAUGAGAAGGUCAUUCCAAUAACAGUCAUGGACAAUUACAAUCUGGUGGAAUCCUUGGUUUCUCAUAUGACUGGUAUUGAUGAGAAGCAACUAGUUUUGUAUGCUCAGAUGGCAAACCUUGUCAAUCUGAUUCUUCAAUGUCCCAAGAUCAAUGUAAAGGAGAUUGCAGAAAACUUUUCUAAG
Molecule: unclassified non-coding RNA, 339 nt
Filed under: Hevea brasiliensis (rubber tree)
Lineage: Eukaryota; Viridiplantae; Streptophyta; Magnoliopsida; Malpighiales; Euphorbiaceae
Source: RNAcentral